AGUGAACGCUGGCGGCAGGCCUAAUACAUGCAAGUCGAACGGCAGCACAGUGUAGCUUGCUCAAUGGGUGGCGAGUUGCGGACGGGUGAUGAAUACAUGGGAAUCUGCCCAGUCGUGGGGGAUAACGUAGGGAAACUUACGCUAAUACCGCAUGCGCCCUUCGGGGGAAAGCCGGGGACCUUCUCGCCUGGCGCGAUUGGAUGAGCCCAUGUUCCAUUAGCUAGUUGGCGGGGUAAAGGCCCACCAAGGCGACGAUCGAUAGCUGGUCUGAGAGGAUGAUCAGCAAAACUGGGACUGGGACACGGCCCAGACUCAUAAGGGAGGUAGCGAUAGGGAAUAUUGGGAAAAGGGCGAAAGCCUGAUCCAGCCAUGCCGCGUGAGUGAAGAAGGCCCUCGGGUUGUAAAGCUCUUUUGUCCGGGAAGAAAAGAAUCGGGCUAAUAACUCGGUGUUCUGAAGGUACCGGAAGAAUAAGCACCGGAUAACUUCGUG
This 490-nucleotide ribosomal RNA is filed under the name uncultured bacterium. Its description in RNAcentral is "partial 16S ribosomal RNA". It matches the Rfam family "Bacterial small subunit ribosomal RNA", at positions 29 to 507 of the family's 1533-position model. The record is from RNAcentral.